Molecule: ribosomal RNA, 425 nt
Filed under: Boscia angustifolia
Lineage: Eukaryota; Viridiplantae; Streptophyta; Magnoliopsida; Brassicales; Capparaceae
Description: eukaryotic LSU rRNA
Rfam family: Eukaryotic large subunit ribosomal RNA (bases 262-425)
Source: RNAcentral
AUGCGAUACUUGGUGUGAAUUGCAGAAUCCCAUGAACCAUCGAGUCUUUGAACGCAAGUUACGCCCCAAGCCGUUAGGUUGAGGGCACGUCCACCUGGGCAUCACCAGCUGUGCGUGCACUGGGUGCGGCUAGCCAAAAACCAAGCCACGGGCGUGAGCGGCCUGGCGAGCGGUGGCGGAAAAAAGGCCUCGUGCUCGCGUCGGGCGGGGCGCAUCCCAUUGCGCUCUCCGACCCUUCCGCAGGGCCGCGCCUGCGAUACGCGAGCCCAGGUCAUGCGAAACCACCCGCUGAGUUUAAGCAUAUCAAUAAGCGGAGGAGAAGAAACUAACGAGGAUUCCCCUAGUAACAGCGAGUGAACCGGGAAGAGCCUAGCUUGAGAAUCGGGCGCCCCCGGUGCACGAAUUGUAGUCUGAAAAAAGCGUCA